RNAcentral lists this ribosomal RNA (108 nucleotides) under Formosimonas limnophila. Lineage: Bacteria; Pseudomonadati; Pseudomonadota; Betaproteobacteria; Burkholderiales; Burkholderiaceae. The record is from RNAcentral.
UGACGACCAUAGCAAGUUGGUCCCACUCCUUCCCAUCCCGAACAGGACAGUGAAACGACUUAGCGCCAAUGAUAGUGUGGAUUCCCAUGUGAAAGUAGGUCAUCGUCA